RNA transcript from Chenopodium quinoa (quinoa), 2738 nucleotides. It is a transcript of the gene named protein LNK1-like, with no coding region annotated. NCBI's taxonomy places the organism in Eukaryota, Viridiplantae, Streptophyta, Magnoliopsida, Caryophyllales, Amaranthaceae. The transcript has 9 exons. The record is from RefSeq and is a predicted model, not a curated record.
AAAUAAAAUUAAUUAGAAGAGUAGAAACAAUUCGAGAUUGCUCUAUUUUCUCUCUCUAUUAUUCUCCAUUUUCUCUCUCCUCUCGCUUCUUCUGUAGUCUCUAGAACUUCCUGGAAGAUCUGAUUUAGGGUUUUUGUUGGAAGAUUUUGAUUUUAUUUUGUUGUUUUUAUUGCUAUCAAGUUUGUUAAUUAAAGAAAAAGGUGUGUAAUUCUAACAUGUCGAUUUGGGCAAUCUAUGUUUUACAAACUGGAUAAAGGGUUUAUAAAGUGAUGUCAGAUUCGCGAAUUUACGAGCUAGAAGAUAUUGUCUGGGAAUUAGGUGACAAUGACGAUCAUAUAGUGCCUCAACCUGGAGGCAAAAGGAGUGGAUUUUCACUUGAGAGUGACAGUAGUAAGAGUCAACGGCUUCAGCUACGAUGUGCUGUAAAUAAUGCUGACAACAGAAGUGCUUCAGGCAAUGUUAUUCAUAGAAAGGAGGGAACACACUUUUGUUCUGUGAAAGAAGAAAAGGAAAAAAUGAUGGAUAACAGCCCACGGACCCACUCAUCUAGUGGAGGUUUAUCUGCUUCACUUGAUGGGGAAUGUAAUGGAAAAAUUAAACGUUCCCCGUCUGAUGAAGAGAGGACUUUUGAACACUGUAUGACAAGUAGUAAUAUGGAUCCUACAGGUGAUGAAGAGAGGACUUUUGAACACUGUAUGACAAGUAGUAAUAUGGAUCCUACAGGUGAUGGAAUAUGUGUGGGGGAUCCUGUACUUGAAGAGCGAGCAGCUUCUAUGGACAAUAACUUGUACCAAUAUGAGCUGAACAAUGCAACUCAUGCGGAAAGUGGUCUUGACUUUUUUGGUAAUAAUCUUGAUGACAAAGAGAGCAACGAUCUAUUGUACUAUCAAUGGUCUGAGAUAGAAAAUUUUGAGGAUGUUGACCGGAUGUUCAGAAAUUGUGAUUCAACUUUUGGUCUAGAUAUUGACAAUAAUGUUGAACUGGGCUGGUUUCCAACUUCACAUGCAAUGGAAGGAUCUGAUGAUGCAAUCAAGCCAAGCUUUAACUUUUCAGACUGCAGUACAACUGGACUAGAUGGUGUGACUGAACAGCAAGAAGUGUUUGGGAUGAACAAUGGUUUAGUAGCUGAUGAAAGCGAUGAGAAGCUUACAGUAGUUGACUGUAAGAGAGUAUCAGAGAAGUUGACUGCAAAUGGCCCUUCAACUGUCUUGCAUUCCUCUAACGUUAAUGGAUCCAGUGUUAUUUCUAGUAUUGACAAUGAAUCACAGAUCCAGUCUGGUAUCAGCCAGCCAAAGCAUCAGAAACCAUCAGAAGGGAAAAGAAAAGAGCGCCCUUCAGAUAAUAUUGUCUCUUUCAUUCAAUUUGACAGCCUAAAUCAGGCAGUGGAGUCAAACCAUUCAUUGAACUUCCAAUGUAAUCAAUCUUCCGAAAAUAGUCAACAGAAGGAAGCUUCUCAUUGCACUUCUGCACAGAUACCAAUUCCUUUGGUAAAUCCCAAUGACAGUCGUUUUACUAAUCAAGGUUUACAAAGCACGGCGUCAUCUAUAAUUAAGUCUGAAGAUGGUGGCCUUCCAUCAGUACCCCUAAAAAGGUCUUCAUAUGCAUCCAAUCAGAUGCAAUCAGUGGAGAGAGCUCAUGAUGUUGCUCUCCAGAAUCCUUCAACUCCCAGGAACAAGAAAAAAGACAGGCCAUUUCAAAGCAAAUUAUCUGGACAUCCUGAAAAAGGCAACUUAAUGGUUGAAAAAGCUGAUUCUGAUCCAAUUUGUGUACAGAAGCUAUGUGAUCUUGAAAAUGAAGCUGAAGGUCAAAGUGAAGUCGAUGAUGAAGCUGGCAUUGCAACAGAGUUGGACUCAUCUAACAUACAGGAAAGUUCUUGUAUGAGCUCAGUCUUGGAUGAAGUCUCAAUUGAUGCUAGUAGUUUUCAACAACUACAAAAUGUCAUGGAGAAGCUAGACGUAAGGACAAAAAUGUGCAUAAGAGACAGUCUCUAUCGGUUGGCCAGGAGUGCUGAGCGAAGGCAUAAGUGUGUCAACCCUAUUGGUGGUGACAAAGAUGAUAAAGAUACAAGUGGAGCUUUUCUAUCUGAUGGAACAAAUAAAUGCACAGGAUUUAUGGAUAUGGAAACUGAUACGAAUCCCAUUGAUCGAUCAAUAGCGCACUUGUUGUUUCAUAGGCCGUCAGACCCGUCUGCAACAGCUCCUUUGGAUGCUCUGCCUGUGAAAGCUCACACUAUGGGUCAGGCACGUAGUCAUGGUCCAUUGAUAGCAGAGAAACCUGCUUUUCGAGAAGAAACUACUUCAGCUAAUGGUGAAGCUGCUGAACACUGAUUUUGAAAGCUGAUGUGCAAACAAAUUCCUCUACGAGGUCCCUGAGAGCAAGUGGCUUCAGUCCUGAAAGUUUGGCAUACUGUCCUGUAGUUCUUCAUGACCUGCCCAGUUAUGCAGGGAGAGGAUGUCGGCAACUUCUUCUGGCUUAAAAGGCUUGAGUUUCAGACUACUGUUUGAGGGAAGAUGCUGAUCAGAAGCCUCCAAAAUACAGAUGGAUUCUAAAUCACUGCAUUCAGCAACUUAUUGUGUACAUUUUAUUUUUGGCAUCAUAUGUACAUUGACUUUAGGGAGAUACCAUGUUCAAAUUUGAAUUUGUUUCGCAAAUGUUCAAAUUUGGCUAGCUAAUGUCUUCUUGUAGCUGUAUUUUGUUGCAUUACCUGCUAUUAAAAAUAACCGAGUUCGACAUGCUUA